RNAcentral lists this ribosomal RNA (622 nucleotides) under uncultured Bacilli bacterium. Its description in RNAcentral is "bacterial SSU rRNA". It matches the Rfam family "Bacterial small subunit ribosomal RNA", at positions 131 to 737 of the family's 1533-position model. Lineage: Bacteria; Bacillati; Bacillota; Bacilli. The record is from RNAcentral.
CUAUAGUUUGGGAUAACUCCGGGAAACCGGGGCUAAUACCGAAUAAUCUCCUUUACUUCAUGGUGAAGGACUGAAAGACGGUUUCGGCUGUCGCUAUAGGAUGGGCCCGCGGCGCAUUAGCUAGUUGGUGAGGUAACGGCUCACCAAGGCGACGAUGCGUAGCCGACCUGAGAGGGUGAUCGGCCACACUGGGACUGAGACACGGCCCCAAGACUCCUACGGGAGGCAGCAGUAGGGAAUCUUCCACAAUGGGCGAAAGCCUGAUGGAGCAACGCCGCGUGAGUGAAGAAGGUUUUCGGAUCGUAAAACUCUGUUGUAAGGGAAGAACAAGUACAGUAGUAACUGGCUGUACCUUGACGGUACCUUAUUAGAAAGCCACGGCUAACUACGUGCCAGCAGCCGCGGUAAUACGUAGGUGGCAAGCGUUGUCCGGAAUUAUUGGGCGUAAAGCGCGCGCAGGCGGUCCUUUAAGUCUGAUGUGAAAGCCCACGGCUCAACCGUGGAGGGUCAUUGGAAACUGGGGGACUUGAGUGCAGAAGAGGAAAGUGGAAUUCCAAGUGUAGCGGUGAAAUGCGUAGAGAUUUGGAGGAACACCAGUGGCGAAGGCGACUUUCUGGUCUGU